UGAGGUGUAUACCUAGGAGAUAUUGCCACGGGAAGGUGGAAACUGUCAGAGAAACUUACUUUAUUAUUCAGGCUGAAAAAACCUAAGGGGAAUGGCCAUGUUUCAGACUAGAGGAAGGAAAGGGCAAGGCAGGGCUGGGGAUUAUGGUGGGAGGGCCUGGUACUCACCUACUGAUGUACUGGAAGAGUUCCUUAAUCUCAGCAGAAACUGGCAAAUGCUCAUAAUCUGCAGGAUCAUAGGCACUGGGGAAAGGAAAAUGUGGUUCAAGGUAGCCAGAGAAGAGCAGGGGUUGCUGAGCCCUGGUUCAGCCCGGGUGUUACUCUGGCCACAGGGCAUAUGACUCUGGACCUAGUUUCUGCUUCACCCACAUGUGCCUUUUCUGAGCAGCUUGCAAGGUAACUUUAAAAGUGAUUAUAAUUAGCUCUCAGCUAUCUCUGACAAUGAAGAACAGAGCUACAGAAAAUCCAAAACAUAAUUUAAAAAAAUUUUAGAAUGUAGCAGAAAUUGUUUUCCCUUUUUUUUUUUUGAAUGAAGGGGAUGAAGAGAAAAGAUGGAAUGAGAUCUUAAUUUCUGACAUGAAAAUGGUUUACCCCAAGAAAAAAAGGAAUUUUUACAAAGAUGUUUUUCAGUGUUAUUUAUAAAAGUAAAAAAUUAGAAACAAAAUGUCCAACACUUGAGAGAUGGUUAGAUAUGUCAAGAUGAAUAUCGCAGUUAUUAAAAAUAUUUGUAUUAAUACAUGAAAUGUAUACAGUAAAAAAGUAGUAGAGUACAUAUCAAUGACUAUAAUUAAGUAAAAUGUAAUGAAUUGACAAAGUAUAUAAGUGACUAGGAAAGUUACUUAAGGUUCUUCUGGGAAGAGUUGCUUAACAAAAAAACUAAAUAGUUUAUAUUUCCCCAGAUUAUAAUUUAUGGAAGCAGAAUCAUGAAGUAAACUGGGAAGCAUGAAAAGUCAGUCUGGUAUUAAACAUUUGCCUAAUUUACUUAGUGUCUACCUUCAGGUGGAUAAUUCAAAGAAUGUGAACUCCUUGAAGUCAGAGACCAUCAGUUAAACUGACUCAGCAAAUCCUCAUGAAAUCCCUGAGCCCACAAGUGUUUCCAAUAGUGCAAGUGACAUCACAGGAUUCGGGCAGUAGAGCCGAAAAAGAAGGAAAACUCAUUACACUGGGUUUCUGAGCAUCUGAUAAUCCUAAAUAGAGGAGAUCAAAAGAGCUGCUGGAAUUUCACUUCUCACUGACGUCCUCCUGUCCAGUGUUUUGAAGGAGGCGUUUCCCUCCUUGGCAAGGGAGCUUUUCUCACCCUUCCAGAGGGGCCCCGUGCUCUUCAUCAUCAUCGUCGUCAUCAUCAGAAUCAGUUUCAGAUGAGUCAUCAUCGUCGUCGUCAUCGUUUUCACUAAAGCCCCGCUGAGGAGUGGGCUGCGAGGUCUUCUUUUUCUCCUGAGAUAGGGCAGGAGAUAGAAAGGUCCAGUAGUGCUUUGCAAAAUCUCUGACCUAUGGGAGAAGACUUUAUAUACCACAGACAAGAUGCCAAAAAAUGACUUUGUAGGUAAGAUGUCAAACAGCACACUAGUCACAAAGUGGGGCUAUCUUAAAACAUGACCUUUAAGACUUUCUAUGAAAUCCGUCUCUGUUGCUACAGCUUUCUGCAUUACUUCAAAUAUUCUCCUUCACCUGAGUUUUCAAAACGCCUGUUCUUGGAGGACGAUUAAAACAUAACCAUUGGACCAUGUGCUAAGCCUAAACACAGGGGCUGUUAGACAGUGCACGUGUGCAAAUUUAAGGCGUCUUCUCAUCCCACUUCCAGAAACGGUGAUUCUCUUGGUUCAUAGAAUAACACCAAAGUGACAUCUGGGCCUUAAGACUUCAAAACUGAAGUCUCUUUCACAAAAUACUAGAAGUAUCACAAAUGUUGACAGUGAACCAAUGCCACAAUCAAUCAUUCCAAACUUUCUUUAUCAUAAGAAUGACUUGGAGUGCUUGCUCAAAAUAUACAUUUGCAGGCUUUUACCUUCAAGAUUCUGAUUAGGCAGUUCUGGGUGGGGACUGGAAAUGUUUUUCUAAAUUUUUUUUUUAAAUUAUUUAUUUAUUGGCCG
Molecule: non-coding RNA, 2089 nt
Organism: Delphinapterus leucas (beluga whale)
Lineage: Eukaryota; Metazoa; Chordata; Mammalia; Artiodactyla; Monodontidae
Source: RefSeq, a predicted model, not a curated record